CUCCUUUGACGUUAGCGGCGGACGGGUGAGUAACACGUGGGUAACCUACCUAUAAGACUGGGAUAACUUCGGGAAACCGGAGCUAAUACCGGAUAAUAUUUCGAACCGCAUGGUUCGAUAGUGAAAGAUGGUUUUGCUAUCACUUAUAGAUGGACCCGCGCCGUAUUAGCUAGUUGGUAAGGUAACGGCUUACCAAGGCGACGAUACGUAGCCGACCUGAGAGGGUGAUCGGCCACACUGGAACUGAGACACGGUCCAGACUCCUACGGGAGGCAGCAGUAGGGAAUCUUCCGCAAUGGGCGAAAGCCUGACGGAGCAACGCCGCGUGAGUGAUGAAGGUCUUCGGAUCGUAAAACUCUGUUAUUAGGGAAGAACAUACGUGUAAGUAACUAUGCACGUCUUGACGGUACCUUAAUCAGAAAGCC
This 425-nucleotide ribosomal RNA is filed under the name Staphylococcus haemolyticus. Its description in RNAcentral is "bacterial SSU rRNA". It matches the Rfam family "Bacterial small subunit ribosomal RNA", at positions 81 to 492 of the family's 1533-position model. The record is from RNAcentral. Lineage: Bacteria; Bacillati; Bacillota; Bacilli; Caryophanales; Staphylococcaceae.